UUAUGCAGGGUUUAUGUGACUGGACCGAGGUCGAAUACUGCUGGAAAUUGAUGAUUAUUACUCGGGGAAACAACAGGAAACAGGGUGGUACUGAAACUGAAUGCAGGGAUGAUUUGUGAGCUUGAAUGAUUAGAAAUGUGUAGGUUGCCGUCAUAAUUGUUAACUGCCAAAUGAACCGAACUGCCUAGCAUAGCAGGGACUGUUUUUUGGCUUUAUGAAUGACAUGGGAAAGACUUUGGGAUGAAUAACUCAAGAUGGAAUCAUGGAGAUCUUUAUAGUAAAGCAAAAGGCGAAGUCAGGGUGAAGCUGAAUGAAGACAUAGAAAACUAGAGGGUAUAGGUUCUCCUGUAGAUCUUUUUUUGUAUUAUUUUUGUAAUGGAGUUUGAAUGAUAAUGGA
Long non-coding RNA from Vicia villosa (hairy vetch), 397 nucleotides. RefSeq lists it as uncharacterized. The record is from RefSeq and is a predicted model, not a curated record. The transcript is spliced from 3 exons. Lineage: Eukaryota; Viridiplantae; Streptophyta; Magnoliopsida; Fabales; Fabaceae.